AUUGAACGCUGGCGGAAUGCUUUACACAUGCAAGUCGAGCGGCAGCGCGGGGGCAACCCUGGCGGCGAGCGGCGAACGGGUGAGUAACAUAUCGGAACGUACCCCGUCGUGGGGGAUAACACAGCGAAAGCUGCGCUAAUACCGCAUACGACCUGAGGGUGAAAGCGGGGGAUCGCAAGACCUCGCGCGAUGGGAGCGGCCGAUAUUGGAUUAGCUUGUUGGUGAGGUAAAGGCUCACCAAGGCGACGAUCCGUAGCUGGUCUGAGAGGACGACCAGCCACACUGGAACUGAGACACGGUCCAGACUCCUACGGGAGGCAGCAGUGGGGAAUUUUGGACAAUGGGGGCAACCCUGAUCCAGCCAUUCCGCGUGAGUGAAGAAGGCCUUCGGGUUGUAAAGCUCUUUCGGCAGGAACGAAACGGCAGGCUCUAACAUAGCCUGUCAAUGACGGUACCUGAAGAAGAAGCACCGGCUAACUACGUGCCAGCCGCCGCCGUAA
This 500-nucleotide ribosomal RNA is filed under the name uncultured bacterium. RNAcentral describes it as "partial 16S ribosomal RNA". It matches the Rfam family "Bacterial small subunit ribosomal RNA", at positions 29 to 523 of the family's 1533-position model. The record is from RNAcentral.